RNAcentral lists this ribosomal RNA (222 nucleotides) under uncultured soil bacterium. RNAcentral's name for it is "partial 16S ribosomal RNA". It matches the Rfam family "Bacterial small subunit ribosomal RNA", at positions 26 to 250 of the family's 1533-position model. The record is from RNAcentral.
AGAUUGAACGCUGGCGGCAGGCCUAACACAUGCAAGUCGAGCGGUAGAGAGGUGCUUGCAUCUCUUGAGAGCGGCGGACGGGUGAGUAAUGCCUAGGAAUCUGCCUAGUGGUGGGGGAUAACGUUCGGAAACGGACGCUAAUACCGCAUACGUCCUACGGGAGAAAGCGGGGGACCUUCGGGCCUCGCGCCAUUAGAUGAGCCUAGGUCGGAUUAGCUAGUU